Molecule: ribosomal RNA, 256 nt
Filed under: Streptomyces sp. ISO699_OTU265
Lineage: Bacteria; Bacillati; Actinomycetota; Actinomycetes; Kitasatosporales; Streptomycetaceae
Description: partial 16S ribosomal RNA
Rfam family: Bacterial small subunit ribosomal RNA
Source: RNAcentral
ACGAACGCUGGCGGCGUGCUUAACACAUGCAAGUCGAACGAUGAAGCCUUUCGGGGUGGAUUAGUGGCGAACGGGUGAGUAACACGUGGGCAAUCUGCCCUGCACUCUGGGACAAGCCCUGGAAACGGGGUCUAAUACCGGAUAAUACUUUCCUCUGCAUGGGGGAGGGUUAAAAGCUCCGGCGGUGCAGGAUGAGCCCGCGGCCUAUCAGCUUGUUGGUGGGGUGAUGGCCUACCAAGGCGACGACGGGUAGCCG